UAAGGCAGCCAGGAAAUGCAGA
This 22-nucleotide microRNA is filed under the name Sus scrofa (pig). RNAcentral describes it as "ssc-mir111". The record is from RNAcentral. Lineage: Eukaryota; Metazoa; Chordata; Mammalia; Artiodactyla; Suidae.